This 343-nucleotide ribosomal RNA is filed under the name uncultured bacterium. RNAcentral's name for it is "bacterial SSU rRNA". It matches the Rfam family "Bacterial small subunit ribosomal RNA", at positions 28 to 371 of the family's 1533-position model. The record is from RNAcentral.
GACGAACGCUGGCGGCGUGCUUAACACAUGCAAGUCGAGCGGUAAGGCCCUUUCGGGGGUACACGAGCGGCGAACGGGUGAGUAACACGUGGGUGACCUGCCCUCAGCUCUGGGAUAAGCCUGGGAAACCGGGUCUAAUACUGGAUAUGACUCCAUGACGCAUGUUGUGGGGUGGAAAGCCUUGUGCGGCUGAGGAUGGGCCCNCGGCCUAUCAGCUUGUUGGUGGGGUGANGGCCUACCAAGGCGACGACGGGUAGCCGGCCUGAGAGGGCGACCGGCCACACUGGGACUGAGACACGGCCCAGACUCCUACGGGAGGCAGCAGUGGGGGAAUCUUGCGCAA